Salvia splendens (bonfire salvia) is the source of this 664-nucleotide long non-coding RNA. RefSeq lists it as uncharacterized. The transcript has 3 exons. Lineage: Eukaryota; Viridiplantae; Streptophyta; Magnoliopsida; Lamiales; Lamiaceae. The record is from RefSeq and is a predicted model, not a curated record.
UCUCCUUUUCACAUCUUACAUCCUUUUUCCUUCUUAAUAAUACCCGUUAGAUCUAGGGAAUCGACGGAUCACAUUGUUUCAAUAAAUCUACUUCCGUGUUGCAUUAUAGAAGGUUCGUAAAUGCAUUAUAGGGGUAAUCUAGACAUUUUGGCCGAAUAUGAACCGCCAUAUUUUUGGAAUACACGACUUUCGUGGGAUUUGAAACGAUCUCAAUCUUCUUCUUUCUUCAUUCAUUAUUCUUUCACCCCAUCCCACUCCUUCCACUCUCUCCACAACCAAAACCCUAGACAACUCCCUCCCAGCGCCGCGUCUGAAGAUUGGGGAUUUUGUCGACCAAAUUUCGGAGGAAAUAGCUAUCACCGAUAACAUCUACUCAGAAACACCGAUUCGUUUCUACUAGGUUCAAAAUGCCGAAAAGAGGUCAUCCGCGCUCCCAAGCAUCACAGGAUGCAGAUAACCAGCUUAGAGUCGACAAAGACAGUGUUGUCGACGACAUUAUUCCCGUGGCGCUAGCAAAAAGAUUUAGGGAGAGGUUAGCCGAGAUAGGCCCUGGGACCUCUGGUAGUCAAGGUGAGCCUAAACCACCUACGGGGCGAAAACUUAGCACAGUCUUUGUUGGAAGACUUAGCACUUUAGAUAUUUUUACAACCUUGAAUACACUGAA